GUGACUAUUGCGGUAAAGUACACCUCUUCCCAUUCCGAACAGAGAAGUUAAGCUUACCAGCGCAGAUGGUACUAGGUUUUCCUGGGAGAGUAUGUCGUUGCCA
This 103-nucleotide ribosomal RNA is filed under the name marine eukaryotic metagenome. The record is from RNAcentral.